CCUACGCGUGGCAGCAGUGAGGAAUAUUGGUCAAUGGGCGCGAGCCUGAACCAGCCAAGUAGCGUGAAGGAUGACUGCCCUACGGGUUGUAAACUUCUUUUAUAAAGGAAUAAAGUGAGGCACGUGUGCCUUUUUGUAUGUACUUUAUGAAUAAGGAUCUGCUAACUCCGUGCCAGCAGCCGCGGUAAUACGGAGUAUACGAGAGUUAUCCGGAUUUAUUGGGGUUAAAAGGAGCGUAGAUGGGUUGUUAAGUCAGUUUUGAAAGUUUGCGGCUCAACCAUAAAAUUGCAAUUGAUACUGGCAUUCUUGAGUACAGUUGAGGUAGGCGGAAUUCGUGGUGUAGCGGUGAAAUGCUUAGAUAUCACGAAGAACUCCGAUUGCGAAAGCAGCUUACUAAACUGCCACUGACAUUGAUGCUCGAAAGUGUGGGUAUCAAACAGGAUUAGAUACCCCGGUAGUC
Molecule: ribosomal RNA, 460 nt
Filed under: uncultured bacterium
Lineage: Bacteria
Description: partial 16S ribosomal RNA
Rfam family: Bacterial small subunit ribosomal RNA
Source: RNAcentral